Etheostoma cragini (Arkansas darter) is the source of this 151-nucleotide long non-coding RNA. RefSeq lists it as uncharacterized. Lineage: Eukaryota; Metazoa; Chordata; Actinopteri; Perciformes; Percidae. The record is from RefSeq and is a predicted model, not a curated record. The transcript has 3 exons.
AUGGUGACGUCACAGUCCGUGCAGAUUUUGAACAGCUCACCCGGAGACUGCAGACCGAGCACAUCCAGAAACCAUAUCUCACUUAAAACAGCAUGGAAGGUUUUUUUCCCACGUUUCUAUGCGGGUGGAAGCACCAGACACAAAAUAAUAU